Molecule: long non-coding RNA, 1053 nt
Organism: Gossypium arboreum
Lineage: Eukaryota; Viridiplantae; Streptophyta; Magnoliopsida; Malvales; Malvaceae
Exons: 2
Source: RefSeq, a predicted model, not a curated record
GAUGGCUACAUCAAAUGACACAGGUGUUCACAUCUUGAUUUGGAAUGUUUUUCAGUUUCCCUCUCCAUUUUAACUUUCUAUUUUCGAUUUCUGUGUCAGUGACAGUGACACUGAAACUUACUUUUGUAGCAUAUAAGAUCAGAAGAUUUUGUCUGCUGGUCUAUCCAUGGACUUAUUGAUGUCUUUCAUGUAGUGAACCGGGUUUGUGGAGGAUAAUAGUUUGGACUUGGUAACUAAGUGUGAGAUUGGAGGGUUAGUGUAUAUUUUUACUUUUUUAAUUAAGUCAUAAAUUUAAGAGAUAAAAAAACUAUAGGGACCAAGGCCGCUAUCUAUCUCUUGGUGAUACCCCUAAAUUCUGGAAAUUUUGGAGCUUAUGCUCCAUGAUCCGCUUCAAUUGUCAAGUUAAUAAAGGAUAAAUCAUAUCACUACUAGAAAAUGGUCAGUUGCAGCAAUGGGCCAAAAAAGCUGCCACCAUAGAUAGGGGGAACAAGAGGAGAGCACCAAGGGCACCAAGAGCAAGGUUGUCGCAACCAACCAUCAGCAUGCGUGCUUCCGGCAAAGACCUUGCCAUGUGAAGCCCACGUAAAGAAAAAAACGAUGCCAAAGCAAUUGAGGAGCCAACUGAAAACACCGAGGAGGAGGGAGCAACAACAACCAGCAAAAUGAGACCUAGUGCGAUGACUUCAACUUGCCAUCGGUGUUCAAGCUAAUGGAGACGUAGAGAGAUGUCGACACCGCAACAUCGUGAGAGCGAAAGAGCUUCACUAAAAUAUCGUCAAAAGCAAAAUACCAAUAGGAUAAGAACCAGCGAACCACGAACGAAAACUCAUGGGGCGAGCAAGAUCCUAGGCAGCCUUUCCCGGACGGCCUAAGGCUGAACGGAGAGUAAAUGAAAAGGCGAGGUCUUGAGAUUAUUUCGUCUAAAAAAGGAGAAGGAAAAAAUGGUGAGGUGAGUGGUAGCGGUCCAGAGACCCAACGACAGCUCAAAGAAAAGCUCAAAAGCCGAAACUUUGGUAGAGAGUCAAUAUGAAACUUCUAGAGAGAAGGGAGAGA